UGACCCCAGCUCAGGCGAGAACACCCGCUGAGUUUAAGCAUAUAAUUAAUUGGAGGAAAAGAAACUUACAAGGAUUCCCCUAGUAACGGCGAGCGAACCAAGAAGAGCCCAGCAUGAAAAUCGGGUGGCAGCGUCGCCUGAAUUGUAGUCUGUAGAAGCGUCCUUAGCGGCGGAACGGGCCCAAGUCCCCUGGAAGGGGGCACCUGAGAGGGUGACAGCCCCGUCGGGCCUGGACCCUGCCACACCACGAGGCGUUGUCGGGGAGUCGGGUUGUUUGGGAAUGCAGCCCUAAUCGGGUGGUAAAUUCCGUCCAAGGAUAAAUACGGGCGAGAGACCGAUAGCGAACAAGUACCGCGAGGGAAAGAUGAAA
Non-coding RNA from Picea glauca (white spruce), 370 nucleotides. The record is from Rfam. Lineage: Eukaryota; Viridiplantae; Streptophyta; Pinopsida; Pinales; Pinaceae.